This 492-nucleotide ribosomal RNA is filed under the name uncultured bacterium. Its description in RNAcentral is "partial 16S ribosomal RNA". It matches the Rfam family "Bacterial small subunit ribosomal RNA", at positions 29 to 507 of the family's 1533-position model. The record is from RNAcentral.
AGUGAACGCUGGCGGUAGGCCUAACACAUGCAAGUCGAACGGCAGCACAGUAAGAGCUUGCUCUUACGGGUGGCGAGUGGCGGACGGGUGAGGAAUACAUCGGAAUCUACUUUUUCGUGGGGGAUAACGUAGGGAAACAUACGCUAAUACCGCAUACGACCUACGGGUGAAAGCAGGGGAUCUUCGGACCUUGCGCGAUUGAAUGAGCCGAUGUCGGAUUAGCUAGUUGGCGGGGUAAAGGCCCACCAAGGCGACGAUCCAUAGCUGGUCUGAGAGGAUGAUCAGCCACACUGGAACUGAGACACGGUCCAGACUCCUACGGGAGGCAGCAGUGGGGAAUAUUGGACAAUGGGCGCAAGCCUGAUCCAGCCAUACCGCGUGGGUGAAGAAGGCCUUCGGGUUGUAAAGCCCUUUUGUUGGGAAAGAAAAGCAGCAGGUUAAUACCCCGCUGUUCUGACGGUACCCAAAGAAUAAGCACCGGCUAACUUCGUG